GUCAACGUUUUGUUUCUUUACUUUUUUU
RNAcentral lists this small RNA (28 nucleotides) under Arabidopsis thaliana (thale cress). RNAcentral's name for it is "ATSL301320". The record is from RNAcentral. Lineage: Eukaryota; Viridiplantae; Streptophyta; Magnoliopsida; Brassicales; Brassicaceae.